RNAcentral lists this unclassified non-coding RNA (168 nucleotides) under uncultured Hypocreales. RNAcentral's name for it is "sequence contains ITS1". The record is from RNAcentral. Lineage: Eukaryota; Fungi; Ascomycota; Sordariomycetes; Hypocreales.
UCGAGUUUAAACACUCCAAACCCAUGUGAACAUACCUAUUGUUGCUUCGGCGGGAUCGCCCCGGGCGCCGUUGCGUGCCCCGGAAUCAGGCGCCCGCCGGAGAACCUCAACUCUUGUUUUCUUAUAGUGGCAUUAUCUGAGUAGCUUAACAAGCAAAUAAAUGAAUCA